CUCUGGUUUCUCUUCAGAACGAAUAAAUCUUUCGCCUUUUACUAAAGCUUUCCGUGGAGAGGAACAGUUAAGAG
Molecule: small nuclear RNA, 74 nt
Filed under: Carlito syrichta (Philippine tarsier)
Lineage: Eukaryota; Metazoa; Chordata; Mammalia; Primates; Tarsiidae
Description: U5 spliceosomal RNA (ENSTSYG00000020054.2)
Rfam family: U5 spliceosomal RNA
About the family: U5 RNA is a component of both types of known spliceosome. The precise function of this molecule is unknown, though it is known that the 5' loop is required for splice site selection and p220 binding, and that both the 3' stem-loop and the Sm site are important for Sm protein binding and cap methylation.
Source: Rfam by way of RNAcentral